UCGCGUGAUCUUGAAUGAACCAAUUCUAAU
RNAcentral lists this non-coding RNA (30 nucleotides) under Mus musculus (house mouse). The record is from RNAcentral. Lineage: Eukaryota; Metazoa; Chordata; Mammalia; Rodentia; Muridae.